UUGACCUCAAAUCGGGUGAGACUACCCGCUGAACUUAAGCAUAUCAAUAAGCGGAGGAAAAGAAACUAACAAGGAUUCCCCUAGUAACUGCGAGUGAAGCGGGAAAAGCUCAAAUUUAAAAUCUGGUGGCUUCGGCCAUCCGAGUUGUAAUUUAGAGAAGCGUCUUCCGCGCUGGACCGUGCACAAGUCUCCUGGAAUGGAGCGUCAUAGAGGGUGAGAAUCCCGUCUUUGGCACGGACGCACCAGGGCUUCUGCGAUGCGCUCUCGAAGAGUCGAGUUGUUUGGGAAUGCAGCUCAAAAUGGGUGGUGAACUCCAUCUAAAGCUAAAUAUUGGCGAGAGACCGAUAGCGAACAAGUACCGUGAGGGAAAGAUGAAAAGCACUUUGGAAAGAGAGUGAAACAGUACGUGAAAUUGUUGAAAGGGAAACGCUUGAAGUCAGUCGCGUCGACCGAGACUCAGCCUUGCCUCGGCUUGGUGUACUUCUCGGCUGACGGGUCAGCAUCAAUUUUGCCCCUUGGAUAAUGGCGGGGGAAAUGUGACACCUUUGCGGGUGUGUUAUAGUCCUUUGUCGCAUGCAAGGGUUGGGAUUGAGGAACUCAGCA
This 603-nucleotide ribosomal RNA is filed under the name Russula fragilis. Its description in RNAcentral is "eukaryotic LSU rRNA". It matches the Rfam family "Eukaryotic large subunit ribosomal RNA", at positions 1 to 602 of the family's 3401-position model. RNAcentral also lists the same sequence under 1 other name. The record is from RNAcentral. Lineage: Eukaryota; Fungi; Basidiomycota; Agaricomycetes; Russulales; Russulaceae.